GGAAGCUGCAACAUUGGCACAAGCUGCAUUUAGGGGUUACUUGGCUCGUCGGGCAUUUCGGGCCCUUAAAGGCAUAAUAAGGCUUCAGGCGCUUAUCCGUGGGCACUUGGUCAGGAGACAAGCUGUUGCCACUUUGUGCUGUGUGCUGGGAAUUGUCAAGCUGCAGGCACUUGCUCGAGGAAUAAAAGUUAGGAAUUCAGAUAGCAGGCAGGAUUUUCUUAAAAAAUGCAAUGUGGUGAUGCCUCUGGAGGGCAAGCUUGGGGAUCUUGAUGGAGCUCAUCUUUCUAUCCAAAGAGCAAGGCUAUCAGCAAAUGCUUUUGUUCACAAGCUUGGGGCUUCAUCACCUACUGUGAUGCCUUUGCGCAUUUAUUAUGACUCUGUGGAGCCAAAUUCAGUUCCAAAUUGGUUAGAACGUUGGUCAGCAUCUCGCUUUUGGAAACCAAUUCCCCAGCCAAAGAAGAUUUCUCACCCAAAAACUCAGAGAAAGCAGAAUAAUGGUCAUAUGCCAGAAGCAGAAACUGGUAGGCCCAAGCGCAGUGUUCGGAGGGUCCCAGCUGCAAAUGUUGACAAUACUUCAGUGCAAGCAACCUCUGAAAUUGAGAAACCCAAGCGCAAUCUUAGGAAAGCUUCAAGCCAUCCAGUUGAUAUGGUGCAGGAAAAUCCGCAAAAUGAGCUUGAAAAGGUAAAACGUAAUUUGAGAAAGGUUCAUAACCCGAUAAUUGAAAGUUCUGUUCAGUCAGAGGCAGAAAUUGAGAAACCAAAACAAAGCUUGGAAAAGGCAUCAGGCAAUUCUGGUGAUAAUCUUUUGGGACAGAAUAUGAAUAAUUCAGGGGAGAAGAUUAGGAAAGAAACGACCUCGGCAACACCCAAACUGCCUGUUGUGGUGAAGAAUGAAUCAACCUUGGUAGCAACCAAAUUGCCUGAUGUCGGAACAACUCCAGAACCACUAGGAAUAAAUGAAGCACCAGAAUUUCUUAGUGAUCAAACUUUGGAUGAAUCAAAGCCUUCAGUAGAGAAUGGUGGUAAAGAUGAGAAUACUCCUGUUACAAAUGGGGAGUUAAGCCAUAAGGAACACAAGGAACAUCCAACAAUCAAUGAA
This 1099-nucleotide unclassified non-coding RNA is filed under the name Hevea brasiliensis (rubber tree). The record is from RNAcentral. Lineage: Eukaryota; Viridiplantae; Streptophyta; Magnoliopsida; Malpighiales; Euphorbiaceae.